This 253-nucleotide ribosomal RNA is filed under the name uncultured bacterium. RNAcentral's name for it is "partial 16S ribosomal RNA". It matches the Rfam family "Bacterial small subunit ribosomal RNA", at positions 524 to 776 of the family's 1533-position model. The record is from RNAcentral.
UACGGAGGGUGCAAGCGUUAUCCGGAUUCACUGGGUUUAAAGGGUGCGUAGGUGGGCAAGUAAGUCAGUGGUGAAAUCUCCGGGCUUAACCCGGAAACUGCCAUUGAUACUAUUUGUCUUGAAUACUGUGGAGGUCAGCGGAAUAUGUCAUGUAGCGGUGAAAUGCUUAGAUAUGACAUAGAACACCACUUGCGAAGGCAGCUGGCUACACAAAUAUUGACACUGAGGCACGAAAGCGUGGGGAUCAAACAGG